This 92-nucleotide ribosomal RNA is filed under the name Bacillus subtilis A29. RNAcentral describes it as "Pseudomonas sp. A29 partial 16S ribosomal RNA". It matches the Rfam family "Bacterial small subunit ribosomal RNA", at positions 1 to 88 of the family's 1533-position model. The record is from RNAcentral. Lineage: Bacteria; Bacillati; Bacillota; Bacilli; Caryophanales; Bacillaceae.
CUUUAUCGGAGAGUUUGAUCCUGGCUCAGGACGAACGCUGGCGGCGUGCCUAAUACAUGCAAGUCGAGCGGACAGAUGGGAGCUUGCUUCCU